CGCUGGCGGCGUGCCUAAUACAUGCAAGUCGAACGCACUCUCGUUUAGAUUGAAGGAGUUUGCUCCUGAUUGAUAACAUUUGAGUGAGUGGCGGACGGGUGAGUAACACGUGGGUAACCUGCCCUAAAGUGGGGGAUAACAUUUGGAAACAGAUGCUAAUACCGCAUAAAACCUAACACCGCAUGGUGUAGGGUUGAAAGAUGGUUUCGGCUAUCACUUUAGGAUGGACCCGCGGUGCAUUAGUUAGUUGGUGAGGUAAAGGCUCACCAAGACCGUGAUGCAUAGCCGACCUGAGAGGUAAUCGGCCACACUGGGACUGAGACACGGCCCAGACUCCUACGGGAGGCAGCAGUAGGGAAUCUUCCACAAUGGACGAAAGUCUGAUGGAGCAACGCCGCGUGAGUGAAGAAGGUUUUCGGAUCGUAAAACUCUGUUGUUGGAGAAGAAUGUAUCUGAUAGUAACUGAUCAGGUAGUGACGGUAUCCAACCAGAAAGCCACGGCUAACUACGUG
RNAcentral lists this ribosomal RNA (512 nucleotides) under uncultured bacterium. RNAcentral's name for it is "bacterial SSU rRNA". It matches the Rfam family "Bacterial small subunit ribosomal RNA", at positions 34 to 507 of the family's 1533-position model. The record is from RNAcentral.